Molecule: ribosomal RNA, 377 nt
Filed under: Discartemon roebeleni
Lineage: Eukaryota; Metazoa; Mollusca; Gastropoda; Stylommatophora; Streptaxidae
Description: partial large subunit ribosomal RNA
Rfam family: Archaeal large subunit ribosomal RNA
Source: RNAcentral
AGCUAGAUGUAUUUAUAUUUAGUGAUUUCUGCCCAGUGAUAUUUUAACGGCCGCAGUACUUUGACUGUGCUAAGGUAGCAUAAUCAAUUGGCUUUUAAUUGAAGUCUAGGAUGAAGGGGAGCUUGGGAAAAAGCUGUCUUAAAUAAAAUUUUAUAAAUUUAAUAAUUGGGUGAAAAUACCCACAUAAAGAAAAAAGACGAGAAGACCCUUAGAGUUUUUUUGUUGGGGUGACAGGUAAACAAACUUCAUUUUAUGAUAAGUUAAACUACCUUAGGGAUAACAGCAUAAUCUUAUUUAAGGAUUGUGACCUCGAUGUUGGACUAGGAAAAUAAUAAUUAGAAAUUAAAAUUUAAAGUUCUGUUCGAACAUUUUCUCCU